Molecule: ribosomal RNA, 253 nt
Filed under: uncultured bacterium
Lineage: Bacteria
Description: partial 16S ribosomal RNA
Rfam family: Bacterial small subunit ribosomal RNA
Source: RNAcentral
UACGGAGGGUGCAGGCGUUAUCCGGAUUCACUGGGUUUAAAGGGUGCGUAGGAGGGCAGGUAAGUCAGUGGUGAAAUCCCCGAGCUUAACUUGGGAACUGCCGUUGAUACUAUCUGUCUUGAAUAUUGUGGAGGUAAGCGGAAUAUGUCAUGUAGCGGUGAAAUGCUUAGAUAUGACAUAGAACACCAAUUGCGAAGGCAGCUUACUACACAAUCAUUGACUCUGAUGCACGAAAGCGUGGGGAUCAAACAGG